This 919-nucleotide ribosomal RNA is filed under the name uncultured bacterium. Its description in RNAcentral is "bacterial SSU rRNA". It matches the Rfam family "Bacterial small subunit ribosomal RNA", at positions 95 to 1016 of the family's 1533-position model. The record is from RNAcentral.
GAGGCGAACGGGUGAGUAAUACAUAAGCAACCUGCCCACGAAGACUGGGAUAAUCCUUGGAAACGAGGACUAAUACCGGGAUAGGUUACGAAUUCGCAUGAAUUUGUAAUUAAAGGUUAGAAACACUGGUGGAUGGGCUUAUGGUGCAUUAGCUAGUUGGUGAGGUAACGGCCCACCAAGGCGAUGAUGCAUAGCCGGGCUGAGAGGCUGAACGGCCACAUUGGGACUGAGACACGGCCCAGACUCCUACGGGAGGCAGCAGUAGGGAAUUUUCGGCAAUGGGGGAAACCCUGACCGAGCAACGCCGCGUGAGUGAUGAAGGUCUUCGGAUUGUAAAGCUCUGUUGUAAGGGAAGAAUGAAUUGGAUAGAAUCCGAUUGUGACGGUACCUUACCAGAAAGCUACGGCUAACUACGUGCCAGCAGCCGCGGUAAUACGUAGGUAGCGAGCGUUAUCCGGAAUUAUUGGGCGUAAAGGGUGCGUAGGCGGCUUGUUAAGUUUAAGGUGAAAGAAUGGGGCUCAACCCCAUAAAGCCUUAGAUACUGGCAAGCUAGAGUACUGGAGAGGGUAGUGGAAUUCCAUGUGUAGCGGUAAAAUGCGUAGAUAUAUGGAGGAACACCGGUGGCGAAGGCGGCUACCUAGACAGAGACUGACGCUGAGGCACGAAAGCGUGGGGAGCAAAUAGGAUUAGAUACCCUAGUAGUCCACGCCGUAAACGAUGAAUGCUAGAUAUCGGGGCAACUCGGUGUCGAAACUAACGCGAUAAGCAUUCCGCCUGUGGAGUAUGCACGCAAGUGUGAAACAUAAAGGAAUUGACGGGGGCCCGCACAAGCGGUGGAGUAUGUGGUUUAAUUCGACGCAACGCGAAGAACCUUACCAGGCCUUGACAUCCCUUGCAAAACUCUAGAGAUAGAGCAGAG